AUGGCGAAGAUUGAUGGCUGGAAAGAGAGACAACUCUCAACAGGUGGGAAAGAAGUGCUCCUUAAAGAAGUUGCUCGAUCUAUACCAUCAUAUGCAAUGUUAGUCUUUAAAAUUCCAAAAAAAACUUGCAAGGGUAUACCUGACAUGGUGUUGCGUUAUUGGUGGGGAGAUGGUGAUGUUUAUAGGAGAACUCAUUGGUUUGCAUGGUGAAAAAUGUGUGUACCAAAACAACAAGGAGGUGUGUGUUUUAGAGAUAUCCAUUGUUUCAAUCUUGCUCUUUUGGCUAAACAGGCUCGGAGGCUUACUGAGAACCCAGACUCCAUGUGUGCACGUACUUUGACAUCGAAGUAUUUUUUCAAAUGGUGA
This 366-nucleotide ribosomal RNA is filed under the name Triticum aestivum (bread wheat). Its description in RNAcentral is "partial small subunit ribosomal RNA". Lineage: Eukaryota; Viridiplantae; Streptophyta; Magnoliopsida; Poales; Poaceae. The record is from RNAcentral.